Molecule: long non-coding RNA, 436 nt
Filed under: Gouania willdenowi (blunt-snouted clingfish)
Lineage: Eukaryota; Metazoa; Chordata; Actinopteri; Blenniiformes; Gobiesocidae
Description: lncRNA (ENSGWIG00000012402.1)
Source: RNAcentral
CCAGGACGUCCACAGCAGAGCAAGAGAGACACGUUUAAACAAAUUACAGCUCACUAUCACAGACGAGGAGAUUACUCAGCUCUGGCUAGGACUUCGUAGAAGCCCAACCCCAAAGGAAGGUAAAACAUCAGCUAAAGGACAUAAACCAGGGAGCGGUUUUAGAAACCCUUCCACUCAGCCUUGGCCUCCAGGGAACAGACUUCAUCUGACCCCUCAGCCAACAAACCUGAAUGCACAGAAGCUCAAACCAUCAAAUACAUACGGCUCGCCCUUUCCAAAUGAAGGCAAUGGGAGGGCAGCCCAGUCACACCUGGCUAAUGUUGAAGCUCUGCACAUCUCAGAGUCUGACCUGGAAAGUGUUGAAACACAGAGGCAGCCACUCAUCGACAUCUCCUUCGAGGAGCAGAAAGUCCUCCGCUCCCUAGAAAGACUCGAC